This 23-nucleotide non-coding RNA is filed under the name Arabidopsis thaliana (thale cress). Lineage: Eukaryota; Viridiplantae; Streptophyta; Magnoliopsida; Brassicales; Brassicaceae. The record is from RNAcentral.
GGUACAACAAAGUGCAACGUUAG